RNAcentral lists this ribosomal RNA (431 nucleotides) under uncultured bacterium. Its description in RNAcentral is "partial 16S ribosomal RNA". It matches the Rfam family "Bacterial small subunit ribosomal RNA", at positions 30 to 507 of the family's 1533-position model. The record is from RNAcentral.
AACGAACGCUGGCGGCAGGCUUAACACAUGCAAGUCGAACGCCCCGCAAGGGGAGUGGCAGACGGGUGAGUAACGCGUGGGAACAUACCCUUUCCUGCGGAAUAGCUCCGGGAAACUGGAAUUAAUACCGCAUACGCCCUACGGGGGAAAGAUUUAUCGGGGAAGGAUUGGCCCGCGUUGGAUUAGCUAGUUGGUGGGGUAAAGGCCUACCAAGGCGACGAUCCAUAGCUGGUCUGAGAGGAUGAUCAGCCACAUUGGGACUGAGACACGGCCCAAACUCAGAGGGGAGGAAGAAGGGGGGAAUUGGGAACAAGGGGCGAAAGCUGAACCAACCAUGGCGGGGGGAGGGAGAAGGGCCUAGGGGUGGAAAAGCUUUUUAACGAAUGAAGAAAAGAAGGGUGGUGGGAAAAGAACCCCCGGCAAACUUGGUC